Molecule: ribosomal RNA, 502 nt
Filed under: uncultured bacterium
Lineage: Bacteria
Description: partial 16S ribosomal RNA
Rfam family: Bacterial small subunit ribosomal RNA
Source: RNAcentral
UGGGGAAUAUUGCACAAUGGGCGCAAGCCUGAUGCAGCAACGCCGCGUGAGGGAUGACGGCCUUCGGGUUGUAAACCUCUUUUAGUAGGGAAGAAGCGAAAGUGACGGUACCUGCAGAAAAAGCACCGGCUAACUACGUGCCAGCAGCCGCGGUAAUACGUAGGGUGCGAGCGUUGUCCGGAAUUAUUGGGCGUAAAGAGCUCGUAGGCGGUCUGUCGCGUCUGCUGUGAAAACCCGAGGCUCAACCUCGGGCCUGCAGUGGGUACGGGCAGACUAGAGUGCGGUAGGGGAGAAUGGAAUUCCUGGUGUAGCGGUGGAAUGCGCAGAUAUCAGGAGGAACACCGAUGGCGAAGGCAGUUCUCUGGGCCGUAACUGACGCUGAGGAGCGGAAAGCGUGGGGAGCGAACAGGAUUAGAUACCCUGGUAGUCCACGCCGUAAACGUUGGGCGCUAGAUGUGGGGACCAUUCCACGGUUUCCGUGUCGCAGCUAACGCAUUAAGCG